Molecule: long non-coding RNA, 479 nt
Filed under: Ictidomys tridecemlineatus (thirteen-lined ground squirrel)
Lineage: Eukaryota; Metazoa; Chordata; Mammalia; Rodentia; Sciuridae
Description: lncRNA (ENSSTOG00000030454.1)
Source: RNAcentral
UCCAGCACAUGGCACGUCGUGCGCCUACAGAGCUAUGCAGGCCUGGAUCUUCCUCACUCGGCCAGCUUGCUGUUCAAGUGCUCCAAGUACGUGCUGGGUUCACGCAUACCCAGGCUGCGCCACGCAGCUGUGUAGUCCAGACACUCCUCUCCACGCCCCCAUGAAGAGGGCACAGGGCAGAGCCACAUGGGGGUCCCACAGGCUAGACACCAAGCCUCGUUCUAGUCCAAAGAGACCCCUGCUGGAAUGAGAAGAAGGCCAGCACUGCCACGGGAGACAGAAAACCGCAGCCCCAGGGCGCCUCCAAGCGGCGGCAACCCCACGAGCCAGGCACAGGAAUGCAGAAAACGCAAAGGACCGAGCCGAGAGGGCAUGAGCCCUCUAAGACCAGCCGAUGACCAAGGCCAGGAGCGUGGUCCGGGCUCUGGGAGAAGCAGCCACCACCACUGACACAAGCACACCUGGCUGGGCCUGGCUGG